This 66-nucleotide transfer RNA is filed under the name Priestia megaterium NBRC 15308 = ATCC 14581. RNAcentral's name for it is "Bacillus megaterium NBRC 15308 = ATCC 14581 tRNA-Ala". It matches the Rfam family "tRNA". Rfam says of the family: Transfer RNA (tRNA) molecules are approximately 80 nucleotides in length. Their secondary structure includes four short double-helical elements and three loops (D, anti-codon, and T loops). Further hydrogen bonds mediate the characteristic L-shaped molecular structure. tRNAs have two regions of fundamental functional importance: the anti-codon, which is responsible for specific mRNA codon recognition, and the 3' end, to which the tRNAs corresponding amino acid is attached (by aminoacyl-tRNA synthetases). tRNAs cope with the degeneracy of the genetic code in two manners: having more than one tRNA (with a specific anti-codon) for a particular amino acid; and 'wobble' base-pairing, i.e. permitting non-standard base-pairing at the 3rd anti-codon position. The record is from RNAcentral. Lineage: Bacteria; Bacillati; Bacillota; Bacilli; Caryophanales; Bacillaceae. RNAcentral also lists the same sequence under 1 other name.
GCCUUAGCUCAGCUGGGAGAGCGCCUGCCUUGCACGCAGGAGGUCAGCGGUUCGAUCCCGCUAGGC